RNAcentral lists this unclassified non-coding RNA (151 nucleotides) under uncultured Ascomycota. RNAcentral describes it as "sequence contains ITS1". The record is from RNAcentral. Lineage: Eukaryota; Fungi; Ascomycota.
CUGAGUGAGGGCCUCCGGGUCCGACCUCCAACCCCAUGUCAUCUGACCCUGCUGCCUCGGGGGUGACCCGGCCGCCUUCGGGCGAUUUGGGGCCCCCGGUGGACCACUUAACACUGCAUCUUUGCGUCUGAGUCAAUUAUUGAAUCAAUCA